This is a long non-coding RNA of Dendronephthya gigantea, 353 nucleotides long. RefSeq lists it as uncharacterized. The record is from RefSeq and is a predicted model, not a curated record. The transcript is spliced from 3 exons. NCBI's taxonomy places the organism in Eukaryota, Metazoa, Cnidaria, Anthozoa, Malacalcyonacea, Nephtheidae.
AGCGGAAGUCAAUAACGUUAAGGCAGGUUAAAGAAAUCACUAAAGGAAUACCUAUUCUACGAUGUAUAUCCCUGAAAAAAAUUUGUGACAAAAUUCGCUCAUACUUUGGGACAGAUGAAUCGGGAAGUGAGAAGUCACCAUCCUUGCCGGGUGAAAUGGAAUCUUGUCAAGAGCGUAUGGAGCGUGCUGGUCUAAUACAACCAAAUGUUAACAAUGAUAUUACAGAUUCAGUUUCACAAGACAAUGAUAUUAGCAAAGGAAGUGAAAUUACAAACAACCCAGAUGAAGAUCUUCCUAAAACUUGUGACAGCGAGUAUGCUCCAUCGGUGCAUAGUUCUAAACGGACAUUGACG